GUGGGGAAUAUUGCACAAUGGGGGAAACCCUGAUGCAGCGACGCCGCGUGAAGGAAGAAGUAUUUCGGUAUGUAAACUUCUAUCAGCAGGGAAGAAGAAAGACGGUACCUGACUAAGAAGCUCCGGCUAAAUACGUGCCAGCAGCCGCGGUAAUACGUAUGGAGCAAGCGUUAUCCGGAUUUACUGGGUGUAAAGGGUGCGCAGGUGGCAUGGUAAGUCAGAAGUGAAAACCCGGGGCUCAACCCCGCGGAUUGCUUUUGAAACUAUCAGGCUGGAGUCCGGGAGAGGUAAGCGGAAUUCCUAGUGUAGCGGUGAAAUGCGUAGAUAUUAGGAGGAACACCAGUGGCGAAGGCGGCUUACUGGACCGGGACUGACACUGAGGCACGAAAGCGUGGGGAGCAAACAGG
RNAcentral lists this ribosomal RNA (407 nucleotides) under uncultured bacterium. Its description in RNAcentral is "bacterial SSU rRNA". It matches the Rfam family "Bacterial small subunit ribosomal RNA", at positions 354 to 776 of the family's 1533-position model. The record is from RNAcentral.